UGGACAUAUUAUUGUAUUCGACUGUAUUCACGGCGUGAAACAGGGGAUUACACUGUUUUGAAAUGGAAAGUGUAUCAAUUAACAUAAUAGACUCCU
Nicotiana attenuata is the source of this 96-nucleotide microRNA precursor. It matches the Rfam family "MIR6152 microRNA precursor family". Lineage: Eukaryota; Viridiplantae; Streptophyta; Magnoliopsida; Solanales; Solanaceae. The record is from Rfam.